Molecule: ribosomal RNA, 429 nt
Filed under: Bacillota bacterium
Lineage: Bacteria; Bacillati; Bacillota
Description: Firmicutes bacterium partial 16S ribosomal RNA
Rfam family: Bacterial small subunit ribosomal RNA
Source: RNAcentral
UAGGGAAUCUUCGGCAAUGGACGGAAGUCUGAUCGAGCAACGCCGCGUGAGUGAAGAAGGUUUUCGGAUCGUAAAGCUCUGUUGUUAGAGAAGAACGUUGGUAGGAGUGGAAAAUCUACCAAGUGACGGUAACUAACCAGAAAGGGACGGCUAACUACGUGCCAGCAGCCGCGGUAAUACGUAGGUCCCGAGCGUUGUCCGGAUUUAUUGGGCGUAAAGCGAGCGCAGGCGGUUCUUUAAGUCUGAAGUUAAAGGCAGUGGCUUAACCAUUGUACGCUUUGGAAACUGGAGGACAUGAGUGCAGAAGGGGAGAGUGGAAUUCGAUGUGUAGCGGUGAACUGCGUAGAUAUAUGGAGGAACACCGGUGGCGAAGGCGGCUCUCUGGGCUGUAACUGACGCUGAGGCUCGAAAGCGUGGGGAGCAAGCAGG